GGCUAUGUAGUUUAAUAGGGUUAAAAUACUCCCCUGUCACGGGAGAUGAUGUGAGUUCAAGUCUCAUCGUAGCCG
This 75-nucleotide transfer RNA is filed under the name Phage NBEco004. RNAcentral's name for it is "tRNA-Asp". It matches the Rfam family "tRNA". From Rfam's summary of the family: Transfer RNA (tRNA) molecules are approximately 80 nucleotides in length. Their secondary structure includes four short double-helical elements and three loops (D, anti-codon, and T loops). Further hydrogen bonds mediate the characteristic L-shaped molecular structure. tRNAs have two regions of fundamental functional importance: the anti-codon, which is responsible for specific mRNA codon recognition, and the 3' end, to which the tRNAs corresponding amino acid is attached (by aminoacyl-tRNA synthetases). tRNAs cope with the degeneracy of the genetic code in two manners: having more than one tRNA (with a specific anti-codon) for a particular amino acid; and 'wobble' base-pairing, i.e. permitting non-standard base-pairing at the 3rd anti-codon position. RNAcentral also lists the same sequence under 4 other names. Lineage: Duplodnaviria; Heunggongvirae; Uroviricota; Caudoviricetes; Andersonviridae. The record is from RNAcentral.